RNAcentral lists this ribosomal RNA (428 nucleotides) under uncultured bacterium. RNAcentral's name for it is "partial 16S ribosomal RNA". It matches the Rfam family "Bacterial small subunit ribosomal RNA", at positions 354 to 796 of the family's 1533-position model. The record is from RNAcentral.
GUAGGGAAUAUUGCACAAUGGGGGAAACCCUGAUGCAGCGACGCCGCGUGAGUGAUGAAGGCCUUCGGGUCGUAAAGCUCUGUCGUAUGGGACUAACAAAAUGAAGGUACCAUGCAAGAAAGGAUCGGCUAACUUCGUGCCAGCAGCCGCGGUAAGACGAGGGAUCCUAGCGUUGUUCGGAAUUAUUGGGCGUAAAGCGGGUGUAGGCGGGCCUGUCAGUCAGGUGUGAAAUCCCAGGGCUUAACCCUGGAAGUGCACUUGAUACUGCAGGUCUUGAGUGUGGUAGAGGCUAUUAGAAUUCCUGGUGUAGUGGUGAAAUACGUAGAUAUCAGGAGGAAUACCGGAGGCGAAGGCGGAUAGCUGGCCAGACACUGACACUCAGACCCGAAAGCGUGGGGAUCAAACAGGAUUAGAAACCCGUGUAGUCC